Molecule: ribosomal RNA, 219 nt
Filed under: uncultured bacterium
Lineage: Bacteria
Description: partial 16S ribosomal RNA
Rfam family: Bacterial small subunit ribosomal RNA
Source: RNAcentral
GCAAGUCGAACGAGACCUUCGGUUCGAAUGUCGCACGGUUGCGUAACGCUUGGUAACCUGCCCAAAUGUGCCGAAUAACUCAGGGAAACUUGAGCUAAUACCUCAUGAUGCCGAAAGGCCAAAGAUUUAUCGCCUUUGGAUGACUUGCGUCGGAUUAGCUAGUUGGUGGGGUAAUGGCCCACCAAGGCGACGAUCCGUAGCUGGUUUGAGAGGAUGAUC